UAUCAGGCCUUAGAGCUGAAAGAGCAUGGAAGAACCAUCGGACUCUGGCAAUCUGCAGAGCAUGUUGUGAGUUGUCAAAAGUAGCAUGAGCUCUGUCAGUGUGUGAGCAGAGUGGAGUUCUGCACACCAACGAUUUCCUCUGUGUUACUGUACCUAUGAUACUAAAUAAUUUGAAGGCAAGAUGUCUGUCACAGGAACUCUUGCAAAGUCCUUGCAAGAGAACAAUCAAGAACUAAACCAAGAGAAUAAGGCCAGAAGGAAGUCAGAUUCAAGAGCUCUUGUGAAUACAGUGGGCUGCAUCCACAGACCAUGCGGAAUCAAAAUGGGCAGCCAGUUGAAGAGGUUAUGAGAUGAGCUUGAAUUCCUGAGAAGGUCUUCCAUUCAGUUUUAGAGCUGUUGAUGCUCAAUGUGAGCUCCCUGAUGUGGGUGCUGUGAACUGAACUCUGGUCCGCUGGAAGAGCAGUAUACACUCUUAAGCACUGGGUCAUCACUCUAGCACCAAGAUUUCUAUGAAUAGUUAAAUGUCUCCUCAUCUCCAUGGCACUGUUCAGCCUGCUGCUUUCCAAUAGUGUGGCACCUGACUCAUGAAACCAAUUAUCAUCUUCCCCAUGAUUCAGACUCCAAAUGGUAACAGCAAUCUCAAGUUUAAGCACAAGCAUCUCCCUAGUGACUGGUGAACAGUCAGGCUAAUGUUUUGCAUCUUAGUAACAUGUUCCUACUUUGAAGUAAGCUUGGGUAGCACUGACCAUGGUACACUUUUCUAUAUAGCUUUAACUACAAGUUUUGAAUAGUCCAAUGUACACAUUUCCUAACACUAAUAACCAAGUUAUUUCUUGUUAUUAUUCUUACAACAGGCACCCUGCCUCGAUGCCUUUUGGUCACAUCAAAAUUCAACUCAGCGCCACAAAUAAAUAUAGCUGUUUGGUCUUAUUUAUAACCAUACUUUGAGCUGUAAUAGAGCACACCACAAAUAAUUUAACCUUUUCAAGCAUUGUGUGCUGUAAGACCUCAGAGAAGCCUGUAGCACAUUGAGCCAUACUAUCUCUGGCUUAAUACCCAUUUCAAGUUGAUUAUUCAUUAUUGCUUUAUAUAAUCCCCAAGGCACUUUAUCAAUACCACAAACAGACAAACAAGCAAACAAGCUCACCUCCUAAUAAGAUUUCAGAGUCCAGGGACCUUUCAUUUACUACAUAAUGGCACCACUACAUAGAGUUGCUUAUUUUAUUCAUCUGGAAAAAUUGAGAACUUACAGUCCUCUGAAGUUCAUUUGUUUUUCACAGCUCAUCUAUCUAUGAGAAUCACAGUCCUCACAAUGUUGUGUUGUCAGAUUCUCCUCACACAUUCUUUGCAUUGUGAACACAUUAAUUUAUAUUUUUCUUAAGACCUUCAUUUCUAUUGAUUUGCCUAUCAGUACCCCCAUUUUAAUUUAUUAUUUUAUUAUAUCUCUCCAUGUGAAUGUUUGUAUACAGUGUACAUAUGUGUUCAUGUAGAGCCAAGUCAACCUCAUCUGUCAUUCCUUGGACAUUAUUCACUUUGGUUUUUGAGAUAGUGUUUCUCAUUAGCCAAGACCUUGCCAAGUAGACGAAGCUGGCUGGCCCAUGAGCCUCGGGGUCUUUCUGUCUCCAUCUCUGUAAACAAUGCAUGCUACUAAGGCCAACUUUUCUUUUAUAUAUCUUCUUUUUGUAAAAUAUGGGUGGUGGGGUUGUACCUCAGGGUUGUCGGGCAAGCACCUUACCGACCCUUCCCCCUAGUUCAGUGACAUAGGAAAAAAGAAAACUGUUGAAGCACCAGCUGAUCUAGUGGUAAGGCAACAAGUAACCACUUCCCUCCGGUUUCAGAAAGCAGCUCCUCUUGAUCAUUCCUAUUUUAACCACUAUUAAUGUAUAGUGUUUUAUUAUUGUGUAUUAUUUAAUUGAUAGAUAAGGAAUAGGAAGGCCAGAUGGACAAUGAGGGUGCAAACUAACUUUCCAUUUCUCUCUUUUAACAACGUAUGAGUAGCCAGUUUGCUGUUCUCUAGGAGAUUCUAGAGAACAGCUCCACCACCAGCUUUUGGGGGGCACUUUCUGCACUGUUUUCUACCUUCGGGUUUAUGGAGGUGCUAUUACAUCUUGCCUGAAGCCUUUUGUUCUUACUAUUUUUUAAUUUAAUUAUUUUUGGUGCUAUUGUAACAAAUUCCAUGCGGAUUCCUAAAUACACAUAGCAGUGCUAAGUGGAGAGCAUAGGGACCAUUGGUUGAAGAUUUGCCUGAAGCCUUGCAAGCUAUGGACGAGGACACAGAAGGUGGAUUUGCUGGGAGGAGUUGUGGAUAUUACAUCAGGCUUUUCUGUGGUUCAAGUUUAGAAAAUUGAAAGGAAGAAGUUGCCAAUCAAAAAUACACACCCUUGGACUGGAGAGAUGUCUAAGCAAUUAAGAGCACUCAUGGUUGUGGCAAAGGACCUAGGUUCUAUUCCAAGCACCCAUACACCAGCUAAAACCGUCCAUAAUUCCAGCUCAAAGAGAUCCAAUUACCUCUUCUGACUUCCACAGAUACCAUGUAUUCACAUGGUGCACAGAUAUGCAUCCUUGAUGUGAGCUGUUCUCCUCUUACCUGUCUACCAUGUCACAGCUGAAACCAUAAACCAAAAGAGACACUUCCCUCGAAAUUUUCUUGGUUAUUUUGUCAAAGGAAAAGAUAAAAAAACCAACCAACCAACCAAAUCUUGUUGACACAAACAGCUGAAGUAUGAAGAAUUAUGAUUUUUGUCUACUUGGAGCUCUGACUCAAGAGCCUGUGA
Non-coding RNA from Peromyscus maniculatus bairdii (prairie deer mouse), 2774 nucleotides. NCBI's taxonomy places the organism in Eukaryota, Metazoa, Chordata, Mammalia, Rodentia, Cricetidae. The record is from RefSeq and is a predicted model, not a curated record.